RNAcentral lists this small RNA (46 nucleotides) under Allorhodopirellula heiligendammensis. Its description in RNAcentral is "Rhodopirellula heiligendammensis Acido-Lenti-1". It matches the Rfam family "Acido-Lenti-1 RNA". Lineage: Bacteria; Pseudomonadati; Planctomycetota; Planctomycetia; Pirellulales; Pirellulaceae. The record is from RNAcentral.
CCGGGGACUGACGUCCCCGGCAGAGUGCUGCCGUCCCUACGGGACU